GACGAACGCUGGCGGCGUGCUUAACACAUGCAAGUCGAACGGAAAGGCCCUGCUUUUGUGGGGUGCUCGAGUGGCGAACGGGUGAGUAACACGUGAGUAACCUGCCCUUGACUUUGGGAUAACUUCAGGAAACUGGGGCUAAUACCGGAUAGUAGCUCCUGCUGCAUGGUGGGGGUUGGAAAGUUUCGGCGGUUGGGGAUGGACUCGCGGCUUAUCAGCUUGUUGGUGGGGUAGUGGCUUACCAAGGCUUUGACGGGUAGCCGGCCUGAUAGGGUGACCGGCCACAUUGGGACUGAGAUACGGCCCAGACUCCUACGGGAGGCAGCAGUGGGGAAUAUUGCACAAUGGGCGGAAGCCUGAUGCAGCAACGCCGCGUGCGGGAUGACGGCCUUCGGGUUGUAAACCGCUUUCGCCUGUGACGAAGCGUGAGUGACGGUAAUGGGUAAAGAAGCACCGGCUAACUACGUG
Molecule: ribosomal RNA, 468 nt
Filed under: uncultured bacterium
Lineage: Bacteria
Description: partial 16S ribosomal RNA
Rfam family: Bacterial small subunit ribosomal RNA
Source: RNAcentral